Molecule: ribosomal RNA, 460 nt
Filed under: uncultured bacterium
Lineage: Bacteria
Description: partial 16S ribosomal RNA
Rfam family: Bacterial small subunit ribosomal RNA
Source: RNAcentral
CCUACGGGUGGCAGCAGUGAGGAAUAUUGGUCAAUGGGCGUAAGCCUGAACCAGCCAAGUCGCGUGAGGGAUGAAGGUUCUAUGGAUCGUAAACCUCUUUUAUAAGGGAAUAAAGUGUGGGACGUGUCCUGUUUUGUAUGUACCUUAUGAAUAAGGAUCGGCUAACUCCGUGCCAGCAGCCGCGGUAAUACGGGGGAUCCGAGCGUUAUCCGUAUUUAUUGGGUUUAAAGGGUGCGUAGGCGGCCUUUUACGUCAGCGGUGAAAGUCUGUGGCUCAACCAUAGAAUUGCCGUUGAAACUGGGAGGCUUGAGUAUGUUUGAGGCAGGCGGAAUGCGUGGUGUAGCGGUGAAAUGCUUAGAUAUCACGCAGAACCCCGAUUGCGAAGGCAGCCUGCCAAGCCAUGACUGACGCUGAUGCACGAAAGCGUGGGGAUCAAACAGGAUUAGAUACCCCAGUAGUC